This 88-nucleotide transfer RNA is filed under the name Puccinia graminis f. sp. tritici. It matches the Rfam family "tRNA". From Rfam's summary of the family: Transfer RNA (tRNA) molecules are approximately 80 nucleotides in length. Their secondary structure includes four short double-helical elements and three loops (D, anti-codon, and T loops). Lineage: Eukaryota; Fungi; Basidiomycota; Pucciniomycetes; Pucciniales; Pucciniaceae. The record is from Rfam by way of RNAcentral.
GACUGGAUAGCCUAGUGGUAAAGGCAUCACUUCUAGUAAAGUGACGUAGCUAAUGCUGAGGUCCCAGGUUUGAAUCCUGGUCUAGUUG